This 346-nucleotide unclassified non-coding RNA is filed under the name Cytisus pseudoprocumbens. RNAcentral's name for it is "partial external transcribed spacer". The record is from RNAcentral. Lineage: Eukaryota; Viridiplantae; Streptophyta; Magnoliopsida; Fabales; Fabaceae.
CGGUUGCGUGCUCUGGUGUUCACUUUUGGUUCUUGUGUUGCCUACCCGUUUAGUGGUAUUGAUGUGCCUCUUAAGACCCGUUCCAUCCAGACCCCUUCUAGGGGCUGCUGGGGGAUUCCAAAGUGAUGUGUGUUUUGCGUUAGCUGUGCAUUGUAAUGGCUCGCGUGCUGACAUGCGUCUAUUUUUCCCUUGGAUGCGGUGCAUGCGGUGAACGUGGGCUGACGUUUAUGCCCCGUUGAGUCCCUUUGAUUUAUCGGUUGCCUUGAAUGACACUUUGUCGUAGUGCUGGUCUUGCUCUACCAUUCUUGGGGGGUAACACUUGCACUUCGAGCAGAGUCGUUGACGG